UAAAAUCCACCACAAGGAUCUUUAUUUCAUGCUGUUAAUCAAGAAUCCUAUUGUCGAUUUGCCAUAUUCUAGCAAAAGUUCUAUGCUGAGCUUUAGACCAUUUGGGAAAAAAAAUAUCUAAAUCAUCAAUUAUUGUUUCUUUUAUAAUUUUUGGUUUAUAAUUUUUUCAUUGCUUCUGUUGCAGAAUCUAUUAUGUAGUAUAACUCUUAUUUUCACUUCCCAGGAUCUUGAUGAGUUUAAAACCAUCCUUAAACCACGCUUGAAACUAAUUGUCCAGAAUGAUGAAAGGGAAUGGUUUAUUGUAUUUGUAUCUAAAGCUCAUCCAGCUAAUGACCAGGCAAACAAAAUAAUGAUGAAAGGGAAUGGUUUAUUGUAUUUGUAUCUAAAGCUCAUCCAGCUAAUGACCAGGCAAACAAAAUGGCAAAGAAAGUAUAUGCUAAACUUGAAGUUGAUUUUAGCUCCAGAAAAAGAGAAAGGUAAACAUGCUAAACAGGACUUGUGACAACUGUACUCUCCCUACCCAACAUAAAUUAGAACGACUUCUUGGUUGACAAUUUUUCCAAAUUAUUUUUGUCUGUAGUUUUUGUUAACAUUUGUUUAGACAUUACAGAAUACAGUUAAUGUACUUUUCUUUUGAGCAAGAAUACACUCGAUGUAUAACAACCUUAACAAUCAUUUAUUUGUAUACCGUUCUCAUUAUUAUAACUUAUUGGGAAAAACCCAAGUUCCAUAUUGAUUAAAGAUAUAAUCCACAAAGGUUUUAUAUAGAGUGACACCCCUCACCUUACAAGCCGGUUUUUAAACUGGUUUUGUAGGGAUGAGUUGGGUCAAACUUUAAUUCUAUCAUGGUAUUACGAGCCUAUCGAUUCAGGCCACCUACCAUUUAUAUACGCACGCCAAGCCCAAAAAAAGUGCUGGGCGCAAGGGGGUGUAUUGGAAAAACCAAGUCUCACAUAUCGAUAAUUCGG
Molecule: long non-coding RNA, 968 nt
Filed under: Lathyrus oleraceus (garden pea)
Lineage: Eukaryota; Viridiplantae; Streptophyta; Magnoliopsida; Fabales; Fabaceae
Description: Pisum sativum (pea) long non-coding RNA (PSAT_LNC022296)
Source: RNAcentral